UCCCUACUAGUUCAGCUAGUAAAGAAUCCACCUGCAAUGUGGGAGACCUGGGUUCCAUCCCUAGGUUGGGAA
Molecule: transfer RNA, 72 nt
Filed under: Bos taurus (domestic cattle)
Lineage: Eukaryota; Metazoa; Chordata; Mammalia; Artiodactyla; Bovidae
Also listed under: 4 other names
Rfam family: tRNA
About the family: Transfer RNA (tRNA) molecules are approximately 80 nucleotides in length. Their secondary structure includes four short double-helical elements and three loops (D, anti-codon, and T loops).
Source: Rfam by way of RNAcentral